This 66-nucleotide transfer RNA is filed under the name Ischnura asiatica. RNAcentral's name for it is "tRNA-Thr". It matches the Rfam family "tRNA". From Rfam's summary of the family: Transfer RNA (tRNA) molecules are approximately 80 nucleotides in length. Their secondary structure includes four short double-helical elements and three loops (D, anti-codon, and T loops). Lineage: Eukaryota; Metazoa; Arthropoda; Insecta; Odonata; Coenagrionidae. The record is from RNAcentral. RNAcentral also lists the same sequence under 1 other name.
GUUACAGUAGUUUAUUAAAACAUUGGUCUUGUAAACCAAAAUUGAGAAUUAAUUUCUCCUUGAACA